CCUACGGGGGGCAGCAGUGAGGAAUAUUGCACAAUGGGGGGAACCCUGAUGCAGCGACGCCGCGUGAGCGAGGAAGUAUUUCGGUAUGUAAAGCUCUAUCAGCAGGGACGAAAAACGACGGUACCUGCCUACGAAGCCCCGGCUAACUACGUGCCAGCAGCCGCGGUAAUACGUAGGGGGCAAGCGUUAUCCGGAUUUACUGGGUGUAAAGGGAGCGUAGACGGCAAGGCAAGCCAGAAGUGAAAGGGCAGGGCUCAACCCUGUACAUGCUUUUGGAACUGGGGGGCUAGAGUGCAGGAGGGGGAAGUGGAAUUCCUAGUGUAGCGGUGAAAUGCGUAGAUAUUAGGAGGAACACCAGUGGCGAAGGCAGUUCACUGGACUGCAACUGACACUGAGGCUCGAAAGUGUGGGUAUCAAACAGGAUUAGAUACCCGGGUAGUC
Molecule: ribosomal RNA, 441 nt
Filed under: uncultured bacterium
Lineage: Bacteria
Description: partial 16S ribosomal RNA
Rfam family: Bacterial small subunit ribosomal RNA
Source: RNAcentral